RNAcentral lists this ribosomal RNA (468 nucleotides) under uncultured bacterium. RNAcentral's name for it is "partial 16S ribosomal RNA". It matches the Rfam family "Bacterial small subunit ribosomal RNA", at positions 28 to 507 of the family's 1533-position model. The record is from RNAcentral.
GACGAACGCUGGCGGCGUGCUUAACACAUGCAAGUCGAACGGAAAGGCCCUGCUUUUGUGGGGUGCUCGAGUGGCGAACGGGUGCGUAACACGUGAGUAACCUGCCCUUCACUUUGGGAUAACUUCAGGAAACUGGGGCUAAUACCGUAUAGGAUCUCCUGCUGCAUGGUGGGGGUUGGAAAUUUUCGGCGGUUGGGGAUGGACUCGCGGCUUAUGAGCUUGUUGGUCGGGUAGUGGCUUACCAAGGCUUUGACGGGUAGCCGGCAUGAGAGCGUGACCGGGGACCAUACGACUGCGGGACGGAGCAGAGGCCUACGGGAGACAGUAGUGGGGAAUAUUGCACAAUGGGACGGAGCGUGAGGAAGAGACGCUGCGGGCGUGAUGACGUCCUUCGGGUAGAAAACAGCAUUAGCCUGUGACGAAGCGUGAGUGACGGUAAUGAGUAAAGAAGCACCGGCUAACUACGUG